This is a long non-coding RNA of Diachasma alloeum, 434 nucleotides long. RefSeq lists it as uncharacterized. The record is from RefSeq and is a predicted model, not a curated record. Lineage: Eukaryota; Metazoa; Arthropoda; Insecta; Hymenoptera; Braconidae. The transcript has 3 exons.
GUUAUGGUUGAACUGUAGGAUUCAGUUUGACUAUGGUAUUUUUAAGUGAGAUCACUGGAAAUAUUUUUUUUUUAAUGUUGUAAAUAAAGUAGAAGAACGGGGGGUUGUUAUCGUAUUUCAGACACUGGUCAGUAUUGACGAUGUGAAACGAGUUUAUUCGCUGUUUCUCGAUGAACGUCGGUCCACGCAGUAUCUCAAAGAGUACCAAGAUGACUUCAUGUUCAAUGAACUUCCUGAGCAGCAGCCAAUGGAAAUCGUGUAGGAAAUCGCCUCAAACUGAUCUUAUCUACACCAUCAGCCGUUCAAAUCGGAAUUAUAACUUCAUCAAGAUGCACGCAAAUAAAUAUUCCAUUGCAAAUCCAUCUAUAACUUCAUUCCUUUUACUCACUCCAUGUUUGAUUGACAAAGAAAUAAAAAACUUCGUUUAGAAUAAA